GAUAAUUCUCUUUUGAAAUCCGCUCCGAUAUUCAGUCUCUGGAAAUACUUAGAAAUCGAUAAUGGCGAAUCUGAGACCAACUUACAGUAAUUAUCAACCUACAAACCCUUCAGAUGCUCCUAGUCCAGGAGUUGGUGGUGUGUGUAUGAUGCAAACCAAAUGGAGAGAUGAACAACAUCCAUCCCUCAUUCAUUCCAUUUCCUCUUUCCUUGCAGACAAUUCGUUCAAACUAAACUUUGUCCCUAUCGGCCCCGAUUUCAUAUUUAACUGUGGAGGACUCUCAGUCGCAUUCUUAUUUCUCACAAAAUGGGACUGCAACAUCUCUUCCUCCAUCUUUAGCAGAGUGCAGAAGCUGAAGGGGCAGUUUGCGCAUUUUUAUGUCAUUAUCACCCUUCCGACCCAGGAACAAAAUGACUCCUUCACUCGCUCCUACUUCAAGUAUGGUAUGGAGCUUGGGAAACCAACUUUUGUGCCGGUUCAAGACUUGGAGAUGGGAUUUGAGAAGAUUGUGAGAAUUGCUCAUUCUCGUGGAGUUUGCAAGCGACAGGGUGUAAUUGCCAAGAUAAAUGCCGAGAGGGAGCAAUCAGUUCUAGUGAUGGACCAGUUCGUCAAAGUGGUUACCUCAAUACCCGGGAUCAACAACCAUGAUGCUAAUACGCUCUAUGCAGCAAUUGGUUCUAUACAAGCAAUAUCCCAGGCAUCAAAAAGCCUAAUUUUGGAGAAAACAGAUCUUUCAGCAGAAAAGGCAGACACAAUAACAAGAUUUUUUAGGGAUCCAAACUAUUAUCUAAGCGUCAAACUCAAUUGACAGAAGGAACAGGUACUGGGGGUGUCAUCCGAGAUGAUUCACGGAAGUUUAUUGCUGCCUUUGCAGAGUGCAAGCAACACGGCUGAGCUCUGCGCCAUCCGAAAAUGCAAAAGAUCUAAACACACAAAAGGUAAUCUCACCGGUGAUCCACCGAAUGAUGAUCUCAACGGUUGGGCCUUUCCUUGUUAUGUAAGGCCCAUGUAUGUCACUUACCAAAAAUAAUCUUACCGCGUUUUGUUGCUGGUAAAAAAAGGAAACUACCACCGCGUUUCUUAAUUCCCAAGAAACAAUCCUAGUUGAACAAAAUUUAGAAGCCUAAUUUCUACAAUUCCUUAUAUAAACUCCACCUUGUACAUCUAUCUAUAAAUAGCAAUAGCUCUGUUUAAGUAUUUCUAUCACUUGCCAUUACAACCUGAGUGCUACAGACAGUGUUCUUGUUCAAACAUCAAAAUAUGGGUUGUAAUGAAAGAAAUAUGGGUUGUAAUGAAAGGGGGAAAUCAUCAUCAUCUUCCAUUAACAAUGUCGAUCAUAAGAUUAGAAAGAUUAGAAGGAAGAGUUUCAAGAACAGAAUCAAAGGGUUUGAGAAGAAAUUCUAUGAGUUGAGAACACUCUGUGAUGUUAAGGCUGCUGCAGUUGUUUAUUCUGAAUUCAUGAAUGGGGUUAAAUCAUUACCAGUGAA
This is an RNA transcript of Papaver somniferum (opium poppy), 1487 nucleotides long. It is a transcript of the gene named protein PARTING DANCERS-like, with no coding region annotated. The transcript is spliced from 10 exons. NCBI's taxonomy places the organism in Eukaryota, Viridiplantae, Streptophyta, Magnoliopsida, Ranunculales, Papaveraceae. The record is from RefSeq and is a predicted model, not a curated record.